RNAcentral lists this ribosomal RNA (1343 nucleotides) under uncultured bacterium. RNAcentral's name for it is "bacterial SSU rRNA". It matches the Rfam family "Bacterial small subunit ribosomal RNA", at positions 28 to 1381 of the family's 1533-position model. The record is from RNAcentral.
GAUGAACGCUGGCGGCGUGCCUAAUACAUGCAAGUCGAUCGAGCUCCGCAAGGGGCUAGAGGCGUACGGGUGAGUAACACGUAGGUAACCUGCCCUCGAGUAUGGGAUACCCAGGCGAAAGCUUGGCUAAUACCGUAUAACGGGAGCGGCCGCAUGGCCGCUUUCUGAAAGGCGCCGUAAGGCGUCGCUCAUGGAUGGACCUGCGCUGCAUUAGCUAGUUGGCGGGGUAACGGCCCACCAAGGCUCGGAUGCAUAGCCGAUCUGAGAGGAUGACCGGCCACAAUGGGACUGAGACACGGCCCAUACUCCUACGGGAGGCAGCAGUAGGGAGUUUUCGGCAAUGGGGGAAACCCUGACCGAGCAACGCCGCGUGAGUGAUGAAGGUCUUCGGAUUGUAAAGCUCUGUUACGAGGGACGAAUGGCUUGUUUAGGAAAUGAGACAAGUUUGACGGUACCUCGCCAGAAAGUGACGGCUAACUACGUGCCAGCAGCCGCGGUAAUACGUAGGUCACAAGCGUUAUCCGGAAUUAUUGGGCGUAAAGAGUGAGCAGGCGGCACGGCAAGUCUGGAGUGAAAGCGUAAGGCUCAACCUUAUACAGCUUUGGAAACUACCGAGCUAGAGUACGUCAGAGGUAAACGGAACUCCAUGUGUAGCGGUGAAAUGCGUAGAUAUAUGGAAGAACACCAGUGGCGAAGGCGGUUUACCAGGACGAUACUGACGCUCAGUCACGAAAGCGUGGGGAGCAAAUAGGAUUAGAUACCCUAGUAGUCCACGCCGUAAACGAUGAUCACUAACUAUGGCCGAAAGGCCGUGGUGAAGCAAACGCAUUAAGUGAUCCGCCUGGGGAGUACGGUCGCAAGACUGAAACUUAAAGGAAUUGACGGGACCCCGCACAAGUAGUGGAGCAUGUGGUUUAAUUCGACGCUACGCGGAAAACCUUACCAGGGCUUGACAUCCCGGUGUUAGCUAUAGAGAUAUAGUGAGAUUGCCGGAGACAGGUGGUGCAUGGUUGUCGUCAGCUCGUGUCGUGAGAUGUUGGGUUAAGUCCCGCAACGAGCGCAACCCUCGUCUUUAGUUACCAUCAUUAAGUUGGGGACUCUAGAGAGACUGCCGAUGCAAAUCGGAGGAAGGUGGGGAUGACGUCAAAUCAGCAUGCCCUUUAUGUCCUGGGCUACACACGUGCUACAAUGGCCGGUACAAAGAGAUACGAAGGAGCGAAUCCGGAGCAAAACUCAUAAAGCCGGCCUCAGUUCAGACUGGAGGCUGCAAAUUCGCCUCCACGAAGGCGGAAUUACUAGUAAUCGCGAAAUCAGCAUGUCGCGGUGAAUACGUUCCCGGGGUU